UACGGAGGGUGCAAGCGUUAUCCGGAUUCACUGGGUUUAAAGGGUGCGUAGGUGGGCAGGUAAGUCAGUGGUGAAAUCUCCGGGCUUAACCCGGAAACUGCCAUUGAUACUAUUUGUCUUGAAUACUUUGGAGGUAAGCGGAAUAUGUCAUGUAGCGGUGAAAUGCUUAGAUAUGACAUAGAACACCAAUUGCGCAGGCAGCUUACUACACAGUAAUUGACACUGAGGCACGAAAGCGUGGGGAGCGAGCCGG
This 253-nucleotide ribosomal RNA is filed under the name uncultured bacterium. RNAcentral's name for it is "partial 16S ribosomal RNA". It matches the Rfam family "Bacterial small subunit ribosomal RNA", at positions 524 to 776 of the family's 1533-position model. The record is from RNAcentral.